UAACUCCUUUGUACGAAAAUGUCAUGUCGUGUAAGUUAGUAUGUUCUAUUCGAAUUGAAAUACAUUGUAAUGGUGUAAUUUUGCUUACUUCUCUUGUUGAAUAGUUAGCAAGUUUUAAUGGAAAUAGAAAAUAUUGGUUAUCUAGACAAAUGUGCUCUUGUUUUCAGUAUAUUUUUAUAACUCUUUUGUAAUGUCUUUGUUAUCAGAGUCCUUCAAAUUAGAAUAGUGAUGAUGAUCUUGUCAAUGCUGAGAUUUUCAUGCAUCAACAGCCACUACAUCUGGAUCAGAUUGAACAAGAAACAGACAGCAAGGGUUGUCAGAUCAGAAACAGAAUGACACACAAACACAAGAAACUUCACAGGCAUAUCAACAUGCAAUUUGAAGACGUGUGAUAAAAUACAGAGAGGUGAAGUCGUGUGUCUUUCCAGAUGCCCAAAUCAUUCCCCCUUAAAAGAUGAGCCUGAAGAGGAGAUUUGGGAAGAUGCUGUUUCAUAAGUCGCUUUGCCUGAUCACCUGUGGUCGGGAUGUCUGCUAACAAGAUGCCUUGCUGGUCUGGGCGAGUUUAAAGGCUUACACAGACAGUCCAGAGGUUCUGAAGUCCAUCUUGGAUCUCAUUGGACGAUUUAAGGUGUAGAAACAUCUCAGCAACCUCAAGAGAAAUUGGAGGCAACUGUGCUAAAUUGCAGAUGUUGUUGCAAAGGGUCUGAAUAUGUAUAAUAUUCUGUCAUCGUAUUAAGUACAGCAUGAGCCAGAAUGGAUGGGUGGUGGUGGCCAUAAGAAGACUGUCAACUAAACCAACAACAAAAUUCAUAUUUGCAGUUUUUCUUGAAUAAAGUUUUUCUAUUCGGAUGAAUAAAAUGACUUUUAAACAUGAUUUUGUUUCAUAUUUUAUGAUUUUAUUCUAUAUUUAGAAAAUUCCACUUCUGCACUACUAACUGGAAACCUAACUGUUUGAAAGAAUGUGUUUUAUCCAUUAAAAAAUAUUUUUAACAGCUGCUUUCAUGUUUAUUUGGAAAGAGUAGGCACCUGCCAUCUUAUUUGUC
Paramisgurnus dabryanus is the source of this 1043-nucleotide long non-coding RNA. RefSeq lists it as uncharacterized. NCBI's taxonomy places the organism in Eukaryota, Metazoa, Chordata, Actinopteri, Cypriniformes, Cobitidae. The record is from RefSeq and is a predicted model, not a curated record.